This 492-nucleotide ribosomal RNA is filed under the name uncultured bacterium. Its description in RNAcentral is "partial 16S ribosomal RNA". It matches the Rfam family "Bacterial small subunit ribosomal RNA", at positions 28 to 507 of the family's 1533-position model. The record is from RNAcentral.
GAUGAACGCUAGCUACAGGCUUAACACAUGCAAGUCGAGGGGAAACGGCAUCGAAAGCUUGCUUUUGAUGGGCGUCGACCGGCGCACGGGUGAGUAACGCGUAUCCAACCUGCCCAUCACUUGGGAAUAACCUUGCGAAAGUAAGACUAAUGCCCAAUGACAUCCCACGAAGGCAUCCGAAUGGGAUUAAAGAUUUAUCGGUGAUGGAUGGGGAUGCGUCUGAUUAGCUUGUUGGCGGGGUGACGGCCCACCAAGGCAACGAUCAGUAGGGGUUCUGAGAGGAAGGUCCCCCACAUUGGAACUGAGACACGGUCCAAACUCCUACGGGAGGCAGCAGUGAGGAAUAGUGGGCAAUGGGCGAGAGCCUGAACCAGCCAAGUAGCGUGCAGGAUGACGGCCCUAUGGGUUGUAAACUGCUUUUAGAAGGGAAUAAAGUGGGUCACGUGUGACUUUUUGCAUGUACCUGAUGAAUAAGGACCGGCUAAUUCCGUG